This 305-nucleotide ribosomal RNA is filed under the name uncultured bacterium. RNAcentral describes it as "bacterial SSU rRNA". It matches the Rfam family "Bacterial small subunit ribosomal RNA", at positions 337 to 641 of the family's 1533-position model. The record is from RNAcentral.
CCCUACGGGGGGCAGCAGUGAGGAAUAUUGGUCAAUGGGCGAGAGCCUGAACCAGCCAAGUCGCGUGAGGGAGUACUGCCCUAUGGGUUGUAAACCUCUUUUGUCGGGGAGCAAAAGCCGGACGUGUCCGGCUGUGAGAGUACCCGAAGAAAAAGCAUCGGCUAACUCCGUGCCAGCAGCCGCGGUAAUACGGAGGAUGCGAGCGUUAUCCGGAUUUAUUGGGUUUAAAGGGUGCGCAGGCGGAGGCACAAGUCAGCGGUAAAAUCGCGGGGCUCAACCCCGCUCCGCCGUUGAAACUGUGUCCC